RNAcentral lists this unclassified non-coding RNA (148 nucleotides) under uncultured fungus. RNAcentral describes it as "sequence contains ITS1". The record is from RNAcentral. Lineage: Eukaryota; Fungi.
UUGAUCCUUUUGUAUUGAUUCAGACACAAACUAUUCUGCAUAAAUGCGGCGCCGGAGCGCCGAAGCACAUUUUGCUUCCACAGGUUUGAAGGUUGAAGGCCUCAUUGGCCAUUCAGUAAUGAUCCCUCCGCAGGUUCACCUACGGAGA